Small nucleolar RNA from Salvia splendens (bonfire salvia), 221 nucleotides. RefSeq annotates it as small nucleolar RNA U3. The record is from RefSeq and is a predicted model, not a curated record. The transcript has a single exon. Lineage: Eukaryota; Viridiplantae; Streptophyta; Magnoliopsida; Lamiales; Lamiaceae.
ACGACCUUACUUGAACAGAAUUUGUUCUAUAGGCUCGUACUUAUGUACCUUUGAUUUCUAAGGAGAUAGGAAACCAUGUCUGGUGGAUGAAUCGUGGCUGCCUUGCAGAGUGUGAUUAACAACGCCUAUGUCAGGUUUCUUUCUGGCCGCGGUGUGGUAGACUAUCAUUCCUGGUUUGACUUUGGUCCCACUUGGAUGGCUAGUCAACUAUCUAACAGACU